UACAGGGGGCUCGAGCGUUAGUCGGAAUCACUGGGCUUAAAGGGUGCGUAGGCGGCUCGCCAAGUGCUUUGUGAAAUCCCGCAGCUCAACUGUGGAACGGCAGGGCAAACUGGCGAGCUUGAAGCAGGUAGGGGCUGGAAGAACAGUUGGUGGAGCGGUGAAAUGCGUAGAUAUCAACUGGAAUGCCGAUGGGGAAGCCGUCCAGCUGGGCCUGUCUUGACGCUGAGGCACGAAAGCGUGGGGAGCAAACAGG
RNAcentral lists this ribosomal RNA (253 nucleotides) under uncultured bacterium. Its description in RNAcentral is "partial 16S ribosomal RNA". It matches the Rfam family "Bacterial small subunit ribosomal RNA", at positions 524 to 776 of the family's 1533-position model. The record is from RNAcentral.